RNAcentral lists this ribosomal RNA (237 nucleotides) under uncultured bacterium. RNAcentral describes it as "partial 16S ribosomal RNA". It matches the Rfam family "Bacterial small subunit ribosomal RNA", at positions 96 to 334 of the family's 1533-position model. The record is from RNAcentral.
CGGCGGACGGGUGAGUAACGCGUGGGUAACCUACCUCAUACAGGGGAUAACAGUUGGAAACGGCUGCUAAUACCGCAUAAGCGCACAGUACCGCAUGGUACCGUGUGAAAAACUCCGGUGGUAUGAGAUGGACCCGCGUCUGAUUAGCUAGUUGGUGGGGUAACGGCCUACCAAGGCGACGAUCAGUAGCCGACCUGAGAGGGUGACCGGCCACAUUGGGACUGAGACACGGCCCAA